RNAcentral lists this ribosomal RNA (400 nucleotides) under uncultured bacterium. RNAcentral's name for it is "bacterial SSU rRNA". It matches the Rfam family "Bacterial small subunit ribosomal RNA", at positions 356 to 773 of the family's 1533-position model. The record is from RNAcentral.
GCGGAAUAUUGGACAAUGGGCGAAAGCCUGAUCCAGCCAUGCCGCGUGUGUGAUGAAGGCCUUAGGGUUGUAAAGCACUUUCAUUGGUGAAGAUAAUGACGGUAACCAAAGAAGAAGCCCCGGCUAACUUCGUGCCAGCAGCCGCGGUAAUACGAAGAGGGCUAGCGUUGUUCGGAAUCACUGGGCGUAAAGCGCGCGUAGGCGGAUGCAUAAGUCAGAGGUGAAAGCCCAGGGCGCAACCUUGGAACUGCCGUUGAAACUAUGCAUCUAGAAUCUCGGAGGGGGUGGCGGAAUUCCAAAUGUAGGGGUGAAAUCCGUAGAUAUUUGGAGGAACACCGGUGGCGAAGGCGGCCACCUGGACGAGUAUUGACGCUGAGGUGCGAAAGCGUGGGGAGCAAAC